Long non-coding RNA from Vitis riparia (riverbank grape), 3030 nucleotides. RefSeq lists it as uncharacterized. Lineage: Eukaryota; Viridiplantae; Streptophyta; Magnoliopsida; Vitales; Vitaceae. The transcript is spliced from 2 exons. The record is from RefSeq and is a predicted model, not a curated record.
CAUUUAGGAUCAUGGUUCUCUCUAGUUUCAGAAAUGGGGUUCAAUCUGAGCUUGCGGGACAUAUUAUGGAAAGUACUUUUCUUGCUCUAUGACUUGUGUCUAGUAUGCUGCCUGCAUAUGAUUUGGAAAUGAACAUUCUCAUGUAGCUUCCUUUCUCCAAUAAGGAUUUGACCCAUUCUUAAUGUUCUAAUAAGGUAAUUGACAGUAUUGAUGGUAGAAGUUGAUAGGAUGGUUCUUGUUUCUUAUGUUGAAAUGGUCAUAUGAUGAGGGCACUUGUAUUUUGAAAAGAAAUAUGAUGCCAGAUGAAUUCUCUUCUUGCAUAUCAAAGACUUUAGAUGCCUAAUUGAACAAAUCUUCAUUUUUACUAUUGUUUUAUGUUUCUAGAUACGAUUUAAUAUUAUUGAUGUAUAUCAAAAUAUCUACACUCUCUUAUAUCCGUCUUUGUCUUUUUGCUCAUGUCUAACUAUCCUUGCAAUUCAAGAACAUUUGAGAUAAAGGCUUUAUUGAGUUGAAUUCAAUUAGAUAGCAUAGGAUGAUAAGAGAAAGUAUUUUUCAGAACUUGGGCAAAUUAGGAAUGUGUCUUUCUUCUUUUAUUGGUUAUUCAUGCAUUCUAAGAACGAUUCAUAUUGCCUUUGGAAAAGGAAUUUAAGUUAUUUACCUUUUAAAAAAAAUCUCUAUUGGUGCUGAGAAAAAAAAAAUAUUUGUAUAGAGUCUCUUUUAAACUACAUUACCAGAACAUGUAAAACCAAUAUUUCAAGAUGUUAUCAAGAAAUGUAUCAAGGACUCUAAUUUUCCUUAAAGCUUAGGAGCCAGAAUUAAUUUCUUUAUUUUCUCAAAGUAUUUUAUGGGAGUAGAAUUGGGUACAUUCACUCUUUUUAUUUUUAUUUUUUAUUUUUUCACUUUGUUCUUAGUAUGAUUUCCAAAGCAUUCCUAAUUGUUUAGAUAGAACUACAGGCCCGCAUUAAGCAAGAAGGAUGUGCAAUCCUUAUCUCACCAGCUAGGCUUGGAGACCGUUGAUGUAAUGCUUUUAACUACAUUCCUUUUUACAAUAAUUAAGGAUUGGUUUUUGCUCGAAAAUCUUGAUUCUUCAUUUUGGUCUCCUUCAUAGUGAAUGUAAGCAUCACUAUUUCUACAUAUUUGUUAUCUUUGUAAAUAAUUUUUUGGAUUUAAUUGUAUAGCAUGCUCAUACAAUUCAAAGUUACAAAAAUCCUGGCUCACAAAUUACCAUCUCAUGUGGAUUCGGGAGAUGAAUGUUGAAAAUAUGAUAGGCUAAAGAAUGCAAAAGAACCAAUUUGAGGUAGAUUUGGAGAUCAAUCAUUGAAUGGUUCAGAUGAUUUCUUUUUCAAGUUUCAUUUGAUUUUGAGUAGAUUCAGAGGCUAUACUUAUAGUAAUAAAUACACAAUACCCCACUUUUCAUAGUGAUCAUGUUAGACUAAGAUUUUUUUAUCAACCUCUACAUGUGGCUUAUGCCAAGAAGUAAAAGCCAUUACUCAUGGCAGGUUCCAUUUGGGGACUUUUGUGAAGGAUGUAUGGACCAGAACUUAAGCAUUUUUUUACUGAAGAUGAUGAAUAGAGACUUGAAUUUGCCCUAUUUUGCCAAGCAACAACAUAAAAAAUUAUGCAAGGUUUGUUAACUCAUCAAUCUAUCCUAAACUAAAUACUCUGUGAUGGAAGUGGAUUGUGACAGUUUGCUCUUUGGGAUGGAGUUAAGGAUUUUUUUAUUCCUUCAUUCAUUUUUUUUAGCAUAUUUGUGAUUCAUUCUUAAGUUGUUCCCUUUCCUUUUUAUUUGAGUUUGCCAAUAUGUUCAUUCUUAAAUAUUUUGGCACGCCUUAAAACUACCUUUAAGGGAACAUGUUCAUACCCUAGAUUAUGGCUGUAAAAAAAAGGUCUAUCUUGGUAUAUGAUGGUAAAAAAUGAAAGGAUGUCCUUGUAGCCUUAAAAUGAUAUUUUAUUCACAACUAAUGUACCUUUAUUUUGAGUGUUGUGAGAAAAGGGACUUGUUUCAAUUUUAAAAUAGGUAGAAAAUGGAAGGAUGUCAAUUCUUACCUUGUUGGAUAAGUAAUGAGCCUUGUCUUCUUGCCUUUCUAUACCUUUUGGAUGCAUCAUGCAUGUUCAUUGUGUGUUUAGACCCAUGAGUUCUACCUUUUAGGUUCUAUUCUAUGGCUAAAGGAAAUGGCUUCUAUGAGUUCUACACUUUAGGUUAACUUCUAUGGCAAAGAAGGCAUUGUAGCAUUUCUUUAAGUGAUAGUGGGAUCUUUUAUCAGACGUGUUGAUUAUCAAUUGUGGGAUCUUACAUUAUUUAUUAGCCUAUUUUCCUCUAAGAAAAAGAAAAUAUUGGUGUGGAUACCAUUUGAUUAAGUUGUAGGUAUCGCAAAUACUACUAAUGCAUGAUCCCUUUAUGGAGAUCACUUAUUUUCUAUUUAAUAUAAUUUUAGUUAUAUCCAAAUAUCUAAUUAGUUAACUUUUCAAUAUAACUUUAGUUAUAUCUCAAUAUCUAAGUAGUUAAUUUUUUGUCAAUUAUUAACAUGUGUAGCUACUUUCCAGGAGUCAUGGUUUUGAAAUUGAGUUAAUUUUAAACCAAUAUUUCAUGUCUCGAAGUUAAAAUAUUCUUUUACAUGUUUUUAGGAAAUUUCAGUAUUAACUAUUGAGUAUAAAUUUUAUGCUCAGAUGCCUUGCAAGAAAGUUUAGCUAAAUUCAAGAAGCAACAAGAGAAGUGUCGAUUGACUUUCACCAGCAUUGCAGCCAAAGCAAGAUCCCCUGAGCCCAGAGUGCCUUGAGAUGCAUGUUGAAACAGUUGAGCCUAGUGAUUGUGCUUUGGUAGCUGAUGAUCUAAUUGCUACUGGUGGCAAUCUUUGUGCAGCCAUGAAUUUACUUGUUAAUCAUUUUGUAAAAGUUUGAAUGCUAGUUGUGUAUUCAAAUAUUUUGAUCCACUAGUUCUUUUGGAAAUACUGGUGCUUUUCUCUUUUAUUAUGAGAUGUAUCUUAGUUACUACUAUUAGUGGAAAUAAUAGACAAACACUUGAUUCCUACA